GACGGAGGAUGCAAGCGUUAUCCGGAAUGAUUGGGCGUAAAGCGUCCGCAGGUGGCAGUUCAAGUCUGCUGUCAAAGACCGGGGCUUAACUUCGGAAAGGCAGUGGAAACUGAACAGCUAGAGUAUGGUAGGGGCAGAGGGAAUUCCUGGCGUAGCGGUGAAAUGCGUAGAGAUCAGGAAGAACAUCGGUGGCUAAGGCGCUCUGCUGGACCAUAACUGACACUCAGGGACGAAAGCUAGGGGAGCGAAUGGG
RNAcentral lists this ribosomal RNA (253 nucleotides) under uncultured bacterium. RNAcentral's name for it is "partial 16S ribosomal RNA". It matches the Rfam family "Bacterial small subunit ribosomal RNA", at positions 524 to 776 of the family's 1533-position model. The record is from RNAcentral.